This 254-nucleotide ribosomal RNA is filed under the name uncultured bacterium. RNAcentral describes it as "partial 16S ribosomal RNA". It matches the Rfam family "Bacterial small subunit ribosomal RNA", at positions 524 to 776 of the family's 1533-position model. The record is from RNAcentral.
UACGAAGGGGGGCUAGCGUUGCUCGGAAUCACUGGGCGUAAAGCGCACGUAGGCGGAUUGUUAAGUCAGGGGUGAAAUCCUGGAGCUCAACUCCAGAACUGCCUUUGAUACUGGCGAUCUUGAGUCCGGGAGAGGUGAGUGGAACUCCGAGUGUAGAGGUGAAAUUCGUAGAUAUUCGGAAGAACACCAGUGGCGAAGGCGGUUCUCUGGGCAUUACCUGACGCUGAGGAGCGAAAGUGUGGGGAGCGAACAGG